CACUUUUGUCACACGCUUGCUUCCACCUGUCAGAGGACUGGGUCUUCUCUGCCUUCCCUGCCAACCUCGUGGGCCCCUUUAAGAUCGGCCGGCCCCGCCAGGGAACAGGUGGAAGGCCGACUGGUGCCCAAGGGACCAAGAGAGGAUAUUGAGAAAUGCCACAGAUGCCUCUUGGGCCCCCCAAGGGAGAAGGAGCCAUGGGCAGGGCCGCUGAGGGGCUGGUGGGGGCAAGGCAGAAGGAGCCGGACAGAUUUAUAGGUAAAGCCUUCCCUCUCCUUCACCUGGCCUGAGCCUCUGUUCCCUGCUCCGGAGUUCUCUGCUCUGUUCGGCCAGGUCUCCUCGAUUUCUCUGGACAGAUCUUGCUUUGGCCAACCUCCACACCUUUGCCUGGGCCGUGCCUGUCACUCAGAACUUUCUUCCAAGUCUCCCCUGGAAAGCUAGUUGGUGGGUAGAAUAAAAGAAUGACCGAAUCCUGAAUCGUUCCAAGGGUGGGAUGGGGCAGAGCUAGAUGGCCUGGCUAAAAGAGAGGUUUCCAGAGAGGAACCAUUGGCACAUCGAUCAGGGGUCCGGCCCUGGCAGUUCCAGCUGCCCACCCGGGAGGGUCAGAAGCUGGAGGGGCUUUCACACCAUUAGUCAUCCCGGGUGGGUGGCAAGCAGACACCCAUCGGGAGUGGGUCACAGCGGGGAGCAGGUGAGCGUCACUGAAUUACUCAUGUCCCCUCACUGGACCUCGUGGGGAACCAAAGUGAGCCGGGACAGCGGCCUGAGCCUGGGGGACCUCUGCCAGGAAGAUAUACUACAUUAGAAUAAAGUGAUUUGGCUCCAUGUUGAAGGUCAAUUGCAGUCUUUAGAGAAGAUGGAGAUGAAACUGUAGAGUUCAACAACGAGAAACCUGGAGACAACCAUGGGGGCUCUCGUCCCCAUCCUUCACACACGUGGGUCUGAUGGUUUGUGCGGCUGCCUCGUCACCUUUACUGGGUCCAGAGUGCCCCCGGGCUUCCCGGAACUGUUUGUUUACCUGUUCUUGCCUUUGGAGGGAAGUGGUGUCACUUGGUUUUCUGGAUGCACAAAAGGAAGCUUCAAGAGAUUGGCAGAUCCAGGCUUACACGUGGUGAGAAGAACGCAGAGAAGGAUUCAGACCGCAGAGUCCACGUUCUUGACGGCCAGGCCUGCCCAGGAUCCUGGACAGAGAACUCGAUCCCUCGGGAGUGAAAGAAAUCAGCCAGAUAACAGCAAGACAAGUUUU
This is a long non-coding RNA of Mustela erminea (ermine), 1246 nucleotides long. RefSeq lists it as uncharacterized. The record is from RefSeq and is a predicted model, not a curated record. Lineage: Eukaryota; Metazoa; Chordata; Mammalia; Carnivora; Mustelidae. The transcript has 4 exons.